Molecule: long non-coding RNA, 461 nt
Organism: Haliotis rubra (blacklip abalone)
Lineage: Eukaryota; Metazoa; Mollusca; Gastropoda; Lepetellida; Haliotidae
Exons: 2
Source: RefSeq, a predicted model, not a curated record
GUUUACUUUGUAUAACGAGGACUUAUCAUGGUAUGUGACGUGCAUGUGUAGGUGAAAUUGGGCCUGUCAGUUCGGAUUGUUGAGACAGCGGACACCAUCGAAACUUGAAAUUGAAGAUUGUGGUCGGUCAACAAUGAUGAAGCUCACCUUGGCCCAAGCAAUUUCAAUGGCACUCCGAUUAUUGCAUGGGAGCUACAAGUCAUGGUACCAACAUUGCCUGUGAAACUGGUGGCAGGUGAGCUAAAAUGGUUUCUGAUUGGACACCUCACCAUCUGGAUGAGUCUGCGGGAGACAUUAUGGCUUGCUUCAUUCAGGAAGAUCGCACAUCAUGAAUCAACCAAACAGAGAUGUCAAAAACAGCAGCCACUGCCUGUUCUCAACAUUAAAACAUAUUGUUUGCCUAAAUGCUCUGUACACCUGUUUCAGAAUUCUUUGAUUUAAUAAAUCAUAUAUUUGUUUUA